This is a non-coding RNA of Schistosoma curassoni, 45 nucleotides long. Lineage: Eukaryota; Metazoa; Platyhelminthes; Trematoda; Strigeidida; Schistosomatidae. The record is from Rfam.
AUUUAGCUGACGGGUCCCAAAUAAAACGGGACGCGCGUCCUAGAU